GCUGCUCAGCUUUCGCUUUCACUUUAAACCGCUUCGGUUCGGUUCAGCUCCUCCUCACCGACCAGCGCCUCCUCACCGACCAGCGCCCUGCAGCUCUGAGCCGCGGACAGAGAAAAGGUUCCAAACAUGUCUGUGCGUUUUUAGGGGGAAAGCUUUUACUUGAACCCAGCAGAAACAGCCAGAUCAUCUCCUCCUGCCAUGUUCAGCGCAGAGAAGCUCCAUAAACACCGGAACGCACACCAUGACGGAGGAGCGCCGUGACUGACUCUGUUAGACUUCCUACAAUAAUCAGAGUCAGAGUCAGCCUCAUUCUGAUCAGCUCAGAACGACAAACACUGCUCGUUUUUCAGAACAGCUGCUGAUCUGCUGAUCCGGCGCCAGAGUGGAGAUAAUGACGCCUCCUACUGUUCAGACCGACUGAGGCUCCACGGGCUUUUCUGACCGUUUAGUUCGGUGGCGUCACAAUAAUCAGCGUCAUCUUGAAGUCUGUUAGCGGGUGUUUGUAAAAGGGGCUGUGAUCAUGGCACCGUGACGUCAUAUGUGAAAACCUCUCAGAACAUUUGCACAAUACUUGGCAUGUGGUGAUCAUCCAGCACAAACUGUAGUUAUAAAGCAGGCAUUCUGUGAAAACUGCAUCCUUCUUAUUUACAAAACUCCAUUUCAGAAAUUUUUCAUUGCAAAACUUCAACAAACCAAGCAGUUCAGCCCAUUCACACCAGCAGGACUUAAUUAUGGGACGGUUAAGCCUGAAACUGCAUCGUACAUCGAAUCUAUACAGCAAUAUGAGACCUCAUUUAUUGGGAUAACAGGGAGCAACAGUGCUGCUCAAGAGACCUAAUACCCUGAGAACAAGUGACGAACCAGAGAAAACGGGUCAAAAUAAAUGGGGACACAAAGUGAAAUGGGCUGCCUCUGCGCUGAGCCAGUGGACUUUCAGACAGAUGGUGCAGAAUUGUAGUCACUUCUUUAGGUUUUGUUUUAAAGGCCUCAUAUUAACUGUGUGUUUUCUGUCUUACUGCAGUGAAACAUUUACUGUACAAGAACAAAUCAUUAAAGUACUCAUCUUCUA
Molecule: long non-coding RNA, 1069 nt
Organism: Pygocentrus nattereri (red-bellied piranha)
Lineage: Eukaryota; Metazoa; Chordata; Actinopteri; Characiformes; Serrasalmidae
Exons: 2
Source: RefSeq, a predicted model, not a curated record